GACGCCAGGGAUGAUGUGGGAGGAGCUCAGAGCGCAGGAAUGUUGGGGAUUUUGGUCCGAACUGGUAAAUACCGACCAGGAGACGAGAAUAAAGUCAACCCUGCACCUCACCUCACGUGUGACACGUUCCCAGACGCUGUUGAUCAUAUCCUUCACAACUUACUCUAAUAGGGUUUUUCAACCUUUUUUUUGAGACAAGGCACAUUUUUUGCCUUGAAAAAACGCGGAGGCACACCACCGGCAGAAAACAUUCAAAUACCAAACUCAGUUGACAGUAAAAAGUCGUUGUUGGGUAUGACUUUAAAGCAGGGGUGUCAAACGUACGGCCCGUGGGCCGGAUCAGGCCCGCGGACAGGUUUUAUCCGGCCCGCGGGAUGAGUUUGCUAAGUAUAAAAAUGAACCAAAAUUUUUGAAUGAAAGAAACUGCUGUUCUAAAUGUGUCCACUAGAUGUCACAAUAGCAAUUAUUUGCAUCUUUGUAGAUUAUGCUACAUACGUAAAAAAAUAAAAUAAACCACAUGAUGUUAGUGCACCAGUUAAGGAAAAUGAGCAAACUUACAUGAAUGACAUCCUGUAAUUUGAUUUUGAUAUAAUUUUUUUAUCGUAAUAGAUUGAAAAUUAACACCAAUGAGUUGACUGAUGAACAUUAUCACAUAAUGUAUUCAGAAAAUAUAAAUAACGACAAAUAUAGAAUACUAUUAACCGCAACAUGUAAGUGUAAAAAAAAAACAACAACAUUAUGAUUUGUACAUUUUCAGAAUUUUCUUGUUCUAUUUUUAAACAAAGAAAACAAUCUGAAUUUGUCUUUAUUUUUAAGUUAUCAUGCUGUGAUUUUACCUGUCCGGCCCACCUGGGAGUAGAUUUUUCUCCAUGUGGCCCCCCAUCUAAAAUGAGUUUGACACCCCUGCUUUAAAGCAUGCAUCACUAUAGCUCUUGUCUCAAAGUAGGUGUACUGUCACCACCUGUCACAUCACACCCUGACUUAUUUGGACUUUUUUGCUGUUGUCCCGUGUGUAGUGUUUUACUUCUUGUCUUGCGCUCCUAUUUUGGUGGCUUUUUCUCUUAUUUUGGUAUUUUCCUGUUGCAGUUUCAUGUCUUCCUUUGAGCGAUAUUUCCCACAUCUACUUUGUUUUAGCAGUCAAGAAUAUUUCAGUUGUUUUUAUUAGGGAUGUCCGAUAAAUGCUUUAAAAUGUAAUAUCGGAAAUGAUCUGUAUCGGUUUCAAAAUUAUCAGUAUCGGUUUCAAAAAGUAAAAUGUAUGUUUUUUUAAAAUGCCGCUGUGUACACGGCCGUAGGGAGAAGAACAGAGCGCCAAUAAACCUUAAAGGCAC
This is a long non-coding RNA of Entelurus aequoreus (snake pipefish), 1328 nucleotides long. RefSeq lists it as uncharacterized. The record is from RefSeq and is a predicted model, not a curated record. The transcript has 2 exons. NCBI's taxonomy places the organism in Eukaryota, Metazoa, Chordata, Actinopteri, Syngnathiformes, Syngnathidae.